This is a long non-coding RNA of Panicum virgatum (switchgrass), 794 nucleotides long. RefSeq lists it as uncharacterized. The record is from RefSeq and is a predicted model, not a curated record. The transcript has 2 exons. Lineage: Eukaryota; Viridiplantae; Streptophyta; Magnoliopsida; Poales; Poaceae.
UGUGUCCGCCUUCAAUUGUUUUGUGUCUUCUGUGUGCUUGACGUGUGUCGCCGGCUUCUGACUGUGUUUGUGUCUCCUGCUUUUGCCUGGGCCAUUUUUUGGUGUGCCGCCUCUUGCAUUGUCCGUGUCGGCCCAUUAUUUUGGGCUUCUUUCGUUCUCGUGGUUGGAUCGUGGCCUGCUUCAGGACUGUGUACUCCGGACGCCACAUCGCCGCACCCUUCGUCGGUGGCGUCGCUUCCAUCUCCCACCUCUGCGUCAUUUUUUUUUACUGCGCCACCGAGUGGAGGUCGUCCUCUGUGCCGCCGAUUAGAUGCAUUCUCUUCUUUUCUUCUCCUCUUUGGUCACCUCUGAGAUUUGCCAGCCUUUUCCCAGCUGCUCGCCUGGCAUUUUCGUUACACUGCUCCACCGGAUAGGCCUCAUGGGUUCGGUUGCCGACUAGGCGUCCCUGCUCCUUUCCGUCAUCAUCCAUUCGCCACCUCUGUGCUCUGGCCAUUGUGGUUCCGGGGCCUGUGCCGCUUCUGUUGGUGUCUACCAAUUUCAAAGUAUAAUGAUCUUUCUUCUGUGUCUAUUUUCUUUUAUUCCUCUAGCUGCUGCAACUAUUUUCCCCUUCUGGCGAUAGGCUCUGCAACGAAUUUUGUUGUUAUUUUAAUCGUGUUGUAUGCAUGCGAAUCUUAUUUGCAUCAUAUCAUUGCCAGUCUUGUGCCCAUUCUAUGUAGUUUUUUUUUUCUUUCAUUUUGUGAUUGCUCUGACUGAUGCUCUUAUCCUAAUAGUACGAGGUACUCUUUGUGAGUGUA